This is an RNA transcript of Gadus chalcogrammus (walleye pollock), 6153 nucleotides long. RefSeq lists it as uncharacterized. The record is from RefSeq and is a predicted model, not a curated record. Lineage: Eukaryota; Metazoa; Chordata; Actinopteri; Gadiformes; Gadidae. The transcript is spliced from 5 exons.
CGCUUCUCGGCCUUUUGGCUAAGACAGUGAUCCCCUCCGUUAUAUGUUUAUAUAUUGCAUAUUUAGUGGCAAUUAUAUAGCAGGUUAGGAGGAUAUUGCACCAUCUUUUUGGUAAAGUGGGGUCAAUUACCAGUUGCUGAUACCCUUUACCAAGAAGACCAUUGUCCAGUUCGUUUAAACGAUAAGGUAAGUGGAUUUUAUUGUUGCCUAUAUUACUUUGUUUACUCACUGUUUUAUUGCUUUUAACCUCUUAAAUUGUUAAGAGUGUGGUGUCUCCAUCAUGUCGGUUAACCCUUCCGGCAUGAGGAGGCACCACAGUGUACGUUUUAAAUUUAAGUCGAUUAAUGGAAUUUUAAUUCAGAUGUCCCGGCUUGAUUUUUCAAGGAAGCACAUCCAAGGAAUCCUGAAGUUUACCGCAAACGACUUGAAUUGUAUUCUUACUCUGCCCUUUAACAAAGGAUUCGAUGUUAGCUUCGCAGCCGCAACAACCCUCAAAGAAUUUUGGACACGCUACGACACGGUAAAAGACCAGUUCUCAGCAUUUGAAGUGGAGAGACUAAAUGACGAUUCCAUUAAAACCGUAAUCGUCAGGAUGUUCAAUGAAACUGUAAAUGCUGAUGAUAUUUGUAUAUGGCUGGCAAGAUACUGCACUGUGAGGGCCCAGGCCACCAAGGUGAGAGAUGAGGAUGGCAUCUGGAACUGUUCAUGGAGGGUCCCCAUACAACAAUGGCGGGACCCACAUGGCUUCCAGGGCCUGAAACAUCUCCCAUCCAUGAUGGCUCUUGGAGAGAACAGGGGCUACAUUCACUACCAGGGACAGCCCAAGCUCUGCCGCAAGUGUGGCGAGCAAGGGCACCUGGCGUGUACCAAGGUUGUUUGCGGCAAAUGUAGAGAAAUUGGACACUCUUUGGAAGAAUGUACCAAUGGCAGGAAGUGCAACCUCUGUGGAGACUCAAACCAUCUCUUCAGAGAUUGCCCGAAAUCUUUUGCUAACAAAGUAAAACAAAAUGCAAGGAAAGUGGCAGACGGGGGUGCACAAACAAUUGAAGACACCAGGCUGCAAAAAAUUACUCUGAUUGGGGGAGAGGGGGAGGGGCCUGAGGUUGCCCCACCUAGUGGUGAAGUGAAAGAGGGUGGUGGGGCCCAGGCAGCCGGUGGAGCAGAGAUGGACUCCACUUCAGACUCUGACGAAACCGGGAGUCUCGAGACAGUCGGCCGGUCGGAAGGGUCUGGGGUGGAGUCCAGUGAAGCCUCCCUCCCAGGAGCCCAGCCUGGGAAGAGAGCAGUGUCGGAGAUGUCCUUGGAAAAUGACGGAGCCUCGGAGAAAAGGGGAAGAGCUGGCUCCUCAGACAGUUCAUCUGUCGGGGAGCACAGUCUUCCCGAACCACCCCCCCAACACUCUCUCCUUUUUAUAUGGAGUCAGUUUCCUGCCAUAAUUCAAACCUGAAAAAAAAAGUUUCAAAGGCUUGUAAGUCUGGGUUUGAAAACUCAACACCUUGUAAAAAAGGUUUUGCAACACUGAAAAAGGAGAUUAUAACCUGAAAAAAAAUAAAACUAAAAUUCAAACAUCUGUAAACAUGAUUUUGUGUUCUAUUUUAUCUUCUUCAUCAUUUUCACCAACAUAUUUUCAAAGUUCAAACAAUUUCACCAGCGCAUUUGCAGAGUUUCAAAUCUGGCACUGUUCUAACGGUGUAUUUCAUUGUUGCCCGGUUUUGAAACCUUGUAAAUGGGAUUCUGCAAACAGGUGUUCAUACAUUGAGAAAUACGUUUUGAAAGGUUGAAUAUUUAGUUUUAAAAACGUGUAGAGGUGUACGUUUACGACAUUGCAACGUCUUUUUUUCAGAACUGACUUUUCAGCACUGCCUUUUCAGAGAUUUGACCACACAGGCGCAAGCUUUGAGUCACGUGAAUAUUGGCAGUGUUCUGACGCCACUCGUUUUGAAACUCCUGACAGUCGAAUCUGAAAGAAAAAAAAACGUUCCUGGGGGCGGGACCAUUUAGCUCUAAACCUAUUGGUUGCUCUUGGCUGACGUACAUUCCAAUCACAUGUACCGUUCACCGGGCUGUGCGUGAUUGACAGUGCUCUGCCGAUGACACGAAUAAGAAGAGACCUUCGCGGUUGAUUUUGAUUUCCAUUUUCUGGAACCAUGGCUGGGCGACACGUGAGUAAUUUUAUUCGAUAUUGUAUGCGUUCUAAAUCGUCGCCUUAUUCACUAUGUAGGCUACUUAUAUAAUACAGGGACAUUUAUCCGUUUAGCCCUUCCGUCCAUAGUUAACCGGAGAAUUCCGACACGAAAACGAUCGCUGAGGUGGAUAUAUGUCAGGCUGACCCAUUGUCAGGGUCAGCCUGGUGUGAGAAUGGUCCGAGUCGGGGAUGGGCAUAUGUCAGUAUCCCCGCAGUGUUAUUCAUUGCGCGGCCUUCGAGGCUCGCCAAGCUUUAAUUUGUGGCUCGCAUGGCAUAAAUAAUAGGGUGAUUUGACCACGUAGCCAAUAGGCCUACAGAUAGCCUAUUUCAUGAAAACACUAAAAACUAGCGGGGAUUCAACAUGUAGGCCUAACCCAUUUAAACUAGAAGUGUCUGUUCUUAUUGUUCUCUCUUACCCAAAACAGUGGCAUUACAAGGUGGACAACAGACAAUAGAUAAUACUUGUAUUUUUAUUUUAUUUAUAAUUUAAUAAAAAUAUUUUUUAUGCAGGCCUAUCCAAAAUUCAUAGGCACAAUGAAUAUAGAAGGCACAUCAUUUUGAAAAAGGUUGACAUUUCUGUAUCAUUCAUUCUUUUUGACUUUCUAUGUAGUAUUUGAAUAUUUUGAGAUCCUGGAUUUUUUAUUCCAUGAGGUGUAGUCAUCAUCUACAAAAGAAAGGCCUGACCUACCUAGUUUUUCACUUUUUGUAAUGAAUAUAAAAUUGAUAUUUUCACUUUUUGAAUGAAACUGGCGCAUCUAAUAUUUUUAGAUGCGCCAGUUUGGAUACUUUUCACAUUGACAAUAUCUGUGCUGCAUGUGUGAAAGGGUAGAACUCAGUCUUUAUUUGUUUUUAUGAGUUGAGUACGCAUUUCAACUUUACUUUGCUCUUUUAUUUCCAGGAUGUCCUUCAGGAGGAGUUACUUGCACGGCUACAGUCAAGACUCCAGCAAGCACUUUCCAGGCAGCCUCUUGAUUUGGACUUCCUAGAGUUUGUCUGCUGCAACGAAUUAGUUUUAUUUCAAUCUUUUGCUGAUCAGAUCCACAUAGACAAUGAUAUUUUGCAGCAGUUAAACCAUUUGUUGGAGCUGGUCCAUGCGGCAAUUGUGAACAGUCCAACUGAAUAUUAUUUUGACACAGCUGUGGGUUUGAGGGGAAAACCCAGAAUGAUAAUCGAGAAAGAUCAGCUGCAACAUUUGUUAGACUCGCAAUUCUCUGUGCCAUGCAUAGCUCAGUUAUUAGGUGUAUCACCAAGAACUAUUUUUCGAAGGAUGGCAGAGUAUGGGCUGAGCGUGAGAGGAUUCUACAGCACCAUGACUGACGCAGAGCUCGAUAAUAUGGUCAGAGCUAUUAAAACACAGAUGCCCAAUGCAGGGUACAGGAGUGUAAAGGGACAGCUCAUGGCAAUGGGUAGCCGUGUUCAAUGGGAGAGGAUUACAGACUCCAUGCAUCGUGUCGAUGCAGCUGGAAUCCUGUCCCGACUUGCGAGGCUUGGCUGCACUGUACGAAGAUCAUACUCAGUACGAGGUCCCCUUGCAUUGGUGCACAUUGACACAAACCAUAAACUCAUCAGGUAUGGUUUAGGUUCCGUCUUCAUGACUUUUAAGCUAAAUUAAAUCAGGUUAUCUAUUUUCCUGGGCGUGAUAUGAGUCAAUAUGGAUGCGUACUAAACAACAGUAAAUAAAUUAAGGCAUGCAUGACAAUUAAAUGUAUAACAUUUAUUAUAUUUUAAUUGUAUUACUUUUAUUCAUAGGUACAACCUGGUAAUAUUUGGUGGAGUUGAUGGAUUUUCCAGAAAGGUCCUGUACUUGGAUGCAGCAACCAACAACCGUGCCAAUACAGCAUUCUCCUUUUUCCUUGAGGCCACUCGGUUACAUGGUGUUCCAUCAAGGGUUCGUGGAGAUCAAGGCGUUGAAAAUGUGGACAUUGCCCAUUUCAUGUUCGAGAGACGUGGAACCGGUCGAGCUAGCUUUAUCUCGGGAAAGAGUGUACACAAUCAAAGGAUUGAACGGAUGUGGCGAGAUGUGUGGAUGGCUGUGACUUGCAUCUUUUAUGAUGUGCUUCACACGCUCGAGGAAGAUGGUGUUUUGGACAUAGCAAACAUAAUGCACCUUUUCUGCGUGCAUUACGUCUUCCUGCCUCGCCUUCGAUCAGCACUACAGGUCUUUGUAGCUGGCUGGAAUCACCAUCCCCUCAGAACGGAGAGAAACCACACCCCAGAGCAGCUGUGGCAGAUGGGACACCUCAACACUCCACAGGACAGUGAAGAUCUUGAGGACCUGCAAAAUCGAGAACUGGACAGGGAGGGUUCCCUGAUGACCCCAGAGGCCACUGUCGGAGGAGUUCAGGUCCCGGAAUUUCAACCGCCUCUGCCUGCUGAAGAUCUGGCAGUACUUCAGUCGGCAAUCAACCCUUUAGUUGAUUCAGAUUCAAAUGGUUAUGACCUGUAUAUACAGGUGUUAGAAUUUGUUAAACACACGCUUCAACACCCCAUUGAUUAGAUAGUUCUGGGUCCAACUAACACAGAGAACUCAAGCAUGCAUCACACCAGGUCGUUUUUUUUGUUGCUAUUAUUUAUAGAUUUAAGUGGGAGGUGAUCUCCAUUGUGCAAUUACUUGCUGGAAUUCGUCAACUUUUUCAAACAGAACAGCAGGGAUUCUUGUAUUGUGGAAUAAAAUGCUGAACUCAAAAAGACCACUGCAAUGCUUUUCAUUUUUACUCAGUUGGCAAGAAUUCAAAUAGUAAACAUGCUGCAAGUUUAGGCACAGCAUCAUUCAUACAACACAAUACUCUGCAUGCUAACAGAGUGAACCACAUAACAAAAAAUCUGAAAGCUUAUUUAGAAUAAAAUUCACAUUUCCAUACAACAAACACAGGCGUUGCGGUCUGUACACAAAGCAAAUAGGCCUCCAACUCGACUGUUCCAACCUAGCUCUAGAAGAGCUUUGCAAUUCUAACAUGAAGAUGUAACCUCAUCAGUCCAAUAACAGUUUAAAGAUGCUCGAACUCAUCAACAUUUAACAAGAACAUUCUGCAAGGACCAGCAGCAUUAUACAAGUCCAAAUCCCGUAUCCCACGUCCCGAUGGAUGCCUCAAGAGCUUGUUUAAAAUCGUCGUAAGUUGAGAGGUGGCCAGGGAUGCGGAGGCACAUGUAACAGGUGGAGGAUUUGGGGAACUGCCCACGCACAACCUCCACUUUCAGCAUCCCAGAUAACACUUCCCACCCAGUCCAAAACCGGAGUAGGUUUAAGCGAGACACUGCUGGAGCUACAAAAAAAGAGUUUUAAUUAGCAUAAAUAAUUAAGGAACAAAGACAGGAACAUAUAUUUUUACUGCUGUGAAAAUGGUAGAUCCUACAAACAAAAUUGUAGCCUUAAGCUGUGGGCUAUUCUAAAAAUACUGUCAUCAUUCUUUGACGUCUUCAUAAUGAGAGGUAUAUGGGAAUGGCAUACCAGUUUCAAUGAACUGCUGGAGGAACAUCCCAACCUUGGCUCUGGUCUCAAGAGGAUAGUCCUCGUCUUCUUCAUCGACUGACUCAGUCGGCCAGAUGAUGUGAUCAAUCAUGACCUAGUUGUCACAACUUGUUAGUUAGAUACUUCCUCCAAAUCUUUCUUAUCUGCUGAGUACGUCUAUGCACACUUUUUUUGUAUAUUAAUGUACAUUGGCAAUAAAGGAUAAUCUGAUUUAAUCAGAACAGUAAAUCUCAGGAAUAAGAAAGCAAUAUACAGUAACAUAAAUCAGUUCAAUAAAAAAAUGUUUUUGAUAGAGUAGUUCCACAUAGGAGUAUAGCAACUCAUAAUCUCCAUGGAGAGUACCGGUAUGUACGUAGAUAGAGUACCCAUUGUAAACUUAACCUUUAUUGAUUUGUACCUGCAUCAGUUAAAAAUUCUAAUUUCUGGCAUUCUUAUCACUAGUUCGACAAUAUGUGUAAUUUGUGCUUGUGAUUUGAAAGUAUAUGCUGCUUAGUUUACA